Molecule: transfer RNA, 56 nt
Filed under: Globodera pallida
Lineage: Eukaryota; Metazoa; Nematoda; Chromadorea; Rhabditida; Heteroderidae
Description: tRNA-Pro
Source: RNAcentral
UUUGAUAUAUUUUAUUUAGAAUUUAUUUUUUUGGGAAAAUGAGGACGUAGUCAAAU